Molecule: ribosomal RNA, 1372 nt
Filed under: uncultured bacterium
Lineage: Bacteria
Description: bacterial SSU rRNA
Rfam family: Bacterial small subunit ribosomal RNA
Source: RNAcentral
GAUGAACGCUGGCGGCGUGCCUAAUACAUGCAAGUCGAGCGAACGGACGAGAAGCUUGCUUCUCUGAUGUUAGCGGCGGACGGGUGAGUAACACGUGGAUAACCUACCUAUAAGACUGGGAUAACUUCGGGAAACCGGAGCUAAUACCGGAUAAUAUUUUGAACCGCAUGGUUCAAAAGUGAAAGACGGUCUUGCUGUCACUUAUAGAUGGAUCCGCGCUGCAUUAGCUAGUUGGUAAGGUAACGGCUUACCAAGGCAACGAUGCAUAGCCGACCUGAGAGGGCGAUCGGCCACACUGGAACUGAGACACGGUCCAGACUCCUACGGGAGGCAGCAGUAGGGAAUCUUCCGCAAUGGGCGAAAGCCUGACGGAGCAACGCCGCGUGAGUGAUGAAGGUCUUCGGAUCGUAAAACUCUGUUAUUAGGGAAGAACAUAUGUGUAAGUAACUGUGCACAUCUCGACGGUACCUAAUCAGAAAGCCACGGCUAACUACGUGCCAGCAGCCGCGGUAAUACGUAGGUGGCAAGCGUUAUCCGGAAUUAUUGGGCGUAAAGCGCGCGUAGGCGGUUUUUUAAGUCUGAUGUGAAAGCCCACGGCUCAACCGUGGAGGGUCAUUGGAAACUGGAAAACUUGAGUGCAGAAGAGGAAAGCGGAAUUCCAUGUGUAGCGGUGAAAUGCGCAGAGAUAUGGAGGAACACCAGUGGCGAAGGCGACUUUCUGGUCUGUAACUGACGCUGAUGUGCGAAAGCGUGGGGAUCAAACAGGAUUAGAUACCCUGGUAGUCCACGCCGUAAACGAUGAGUGCUAAGUGUUAGGGGGUUUCCGCCCCUUAGUGCUGCAGCUAACGCAUUAAGCACUCCGCCUGGGGAGUACGACCGCAAGGUUGAAACUCAAAGGAAUUGACGGGGACCCGCACAAGCGGUGGAGCAUGUGGUUUAAUUCGAAGCAACGCGAAGAACCUUACCAAAUCUUGACAUCCUUUGACAACUCUAGAGAUAGAGCCUUCCCCUUCGGGGGACAAAGUGACAGGUGGUGCAUGGUUGUCGUCAGCUCGUGUCGUGAGAUGUUGGGUUAAGUCCCGCAACGAGCGCAACCCUUAAGCUUAGUUGCCAUCAUUAAGUUGGGCACUCUAAGUUGACUGCCGGUGACAAACCGGAGGAAGGUGGGGAUGACGUCAAAUCAUCAUGCCCCUUAUGAUUUGGGCUACACACGUGCUACAAUGGACAAUACAAAGGGCAGCGAAACCGCGAGGUCGAGCAAAUCCCAUAAAGUUGUUCUCAGUUCGGAUUGUAGUCUGCAACUCGACUACAUGAAGCUGGAAUCGCUAGUAAUCGUAGAUCAGCAUGCUACGGUGAAUACGUUCCCGGGUCU